UCCCAGGUGGCUGAGUGACAAAGGAUCCGCCUGCAAUGCAGGAGACACAGGUUUGAUCCCUGGCCUGGGAA
Non-coding RNA from Bos taurus (domestic cattle), 71 nucleotides. The record is from Rfam. Lineage: Eukaryota; Metazoa; Chordata; Mammalia; Artiodactyla; Bovidae.